AACCCAGGGGUAUUUUGCUCUAACGGUUCACUCGCGAGAAAAAUAAUUUCUUCUCGAGAGUGAAACGUUAGAGCAAAAUACCCCUGGGUU
Molecule: non-coding RNA, 90 nt
Organism: Nematostella vectensis (starlet sea anemone)
Lineage: Eukaryota; Metazoa; Cnidaria; Anthozoa; Actiniaria; Edwardsiidae
Source: Rfam